AGAUCUAUAGAGGUAUAAAAAGGCGAGGGGGGGAAACGUUAAUGCAGAGCGAGGACGCUGUGUUUUAUCUAUAGGCAGUUUUCGCCCACAAGGUGUAGGCAUUAACUGUCACUUAUAUCGAAAACGAAACUAACGGUUGAGAAAUAAGAAAUGCUUCUCUCGCAGCCUGGUUAAGAAAUGGCCUCUGAUAAGGACGGUGUUGUUGCUGCCUGGAAAGACCCUAGCUUGCCCUCUGUUUCAAAUAGGAUCACGGAAAACUGGCCCGAAACUUGGUGGGAGUGGAUUUGCCUUGGCGAAGGUCUGCGCUCUCCGACUGCUCUUGUAGUAUGGGAUAAACACAAAUCUGGAUGCACGCACAG
Molecule: long non-coding RNA, 359 nt
Organism: Sander lucioperca (pikeperch)
Lineage: Eukaryota; Metazoa; Chordata; Actinopteri; Perciformes; Percidae
Exons: 3
Source: RefSeq, a predicted model, not a curated record